RNAcentral lists this transfer RNA (73 nucleotides) under Octopus vulgaris (common octopus). It matches the Rfam family "tRNA". From Rfam's summary of the family: Transfer RNA (tRNA) molecules are approximately 80 nucleotides in length. Their secondary structure includes four short double-helical elements and three loops (D, anti-codon, and T loops). Further hydrogen bonds mediate the characteristic L-shaped molecular structure. tRNAs have two regions of fundamental functional importance: the anti-codon, which is responsible for specific mRNA codon recognition, and the 3' end, to which the tRNAs corresponding amino acid is attached (by aminoacyl-tRNA synthetases). tRNAs cope with the degeneracy of the genetic code in two manners: having more than one tRNA (with a specific anti-codon) for a particular amino acid; and 'wobble' base-pairing, i.e. permitting non-standard base-pairing at the 3rd anti-codon position. RNAcentral also lists the same sequence under 1 other name. Lineage: Eukaryota; Metazoa; Mollusca; Cephalopoda; Octopoda; Octopodidae. The record is from Rfam by way of RNAcentral.
GCCUCCAUAGCUCAGAGAUUAGAGCACUGGUCUUGUAAACCAGGGGUCGUGAGUUCGAUUCUCACUGGGGGCU